GACUCCGUGGCAUGUGGUAUGCAUCCAUUGCCUCUGACCGGUCACCAACCGCUUCAGCGGAAGAGCCCGGUUCGAAUCCGGGCGGGGUCU
Non-coding RNA from Mycena metata, 90 nucleotides. Lineage: Eukaryota; Fungi; Basidiomycota; Agaricomycetes; Agaricales; Mycenaceae. The record is from the annotation of a GenBank genome assembly.